Molecule: ribosomal RNA, 253 nt
Filed under: uncultured bacterium
Lineage: Bacteria
Description: partial 16S ribosomal RNA
Rfam family: Bacterial small subunit ribosomal RNA
Source: RNAcentral
UACGAGGGGGGCAAAUGUUGUUCGGAAUCACUGGGCGUAAAGGGCGCGUAGGCGGGUGUUUAAGUUAGGUGUUUAAUCCUGGGGCCCAACCCCAGUCGUGCACCUAAAACUGGACAUCUUGAAUAGUGGAGAGGUCAGUGGAAUUGGGGGUGUAGCGGUGGAAUGCGUAGAGAUCCCCAAGAACACCAGUUGCGAAGGCGGCUGACUGGACACAUAUUGACGCUGAGGCUCGAAAGCAUGGGGAGCAAACAGG